CCUACGGGAGGCAGCAGUGGGGAAUUUUGGACAAUGGGCGCAAGCCUGAUCCAGCAAUGCCGCGUGAGUGAAGAAGGCCUUCGGGUUGUAAAGCUCUUUUGUCAGGGAAGAAACGGCUGAGGUUAAUACCUUCGGCUAAUGACGGUACCUGAAGAAUAAGCACCGGCUAACUACGUGCCAGCAGCCGCGGUAAUACGUAGGGUGCAAGCGUUAAUCGGAAUUACUGGGCGUAAAGCGUGCGCAGGCGGUUUUGUAAGUCUGACGUGAAAUCCCCGGGCUCAACCUGGGAAUUGCGUUGGAGACUGCAAGGCUGGAGUCUGGCAGAGGGGGGUAGAAUUCCACGUGUAGCAGUGAAAUGCGUAGAGAUGUGGAGGAACACCGAUGGCGAAGGCAGCCCCCUGGGUCAAGACUGACGCUCAUGCACGAAAGCGUGGGGAGCAAACAGGAUUAGAUACCCUGGUAGUCCACGCCCUAAACGAUGUCUACUAGUUGUCGGGUCUUAAUUGACUUGGUAACGCAGCUAACGCGUGAAGUAGACCGCCUGGGGAAUACGGUCGCAAGNUUAAAACUCAAAGGAAUUGACCGGNNGAGAGNGCGAGACGACGACGAGGAGAGG
RNAcentral lists this ribosomal RNA (616 nucleotides) under uncultured bacterium. RNAcentral's name for it is "bacterial SSU rRNA". It matches the Rfam family "Bacterial small subunit ribosomal RNA", at positions 338 to 946 of the family's 1533-position model. The record is from RNAcentral.